RNAcentral lists this ribosomal RNA (820 nucleotides) under uncultured archaeon. RNAcentral's name for it is "bacterial SSU rRNA". It matches the Rfam family "Archaeal small subunit ribosomal RNA", at positions 46 to 874 of the family's 1478-position model. The record is from RNAcentral.
AAGCCAUGCGAGUCGAGAGGGUUCGGCCCUCGGCGUACUACUCAGUAACACGUGGAUAACCUGCCCUAAGGAAGGGGAUAACCUCGGGAAACUGAGGAUAAUACCCUAUAGGUUACAGAUGCUGGAAUGCCCUGUAACCGAAAGCUCCGGCGCCUUAGGAUGGAUCUGCGGCCGAUUAGGUUGUUGUUGGGGUAACGGCCCAACAAGCCGAUAAUCGGUACGGGUUGUGGGAGCAAGAGCCCGGAGUUGGAUUCUGAGACACGAAUCCAGGCCCUACGGGGCGCAGCAGGCGCGAAAACUUUACAAUGCGGGAAACCGUGAUAAGGGAACCCCGAGUGCCUGUAUAUGCAGGCUGUCCAGGUGUCUAAAAAACACCUGAAGAAAGGGCCGGGCAAGACCGGUGCCAGCCGCCGCGGUAAUACCGGCGGCUCGAGUGGUGGCCACUUUUAUUGGGCUUAAAGCGUUCGUAGCUGGGUUGUUAAGUCUCUUGGGAAAUCUGACGGCUUAACCGUCAGGCGUCUAAGAGAUACUGGCAAUCUUGGAACCGGGAGAGGUGAGGGGUACUUCGGGGGUAGGAGUGAAAUCCUGUAAUCCUCGAGGGACCACCUGUGGCGAAGGCGCCUCACCAGAACGGCUUCGACAGUGAGGGACGAAAGCUGGGGGAGCAAACCGGAUUAGAUACCCGGGUAGUCCCAGCCGUAAACGAUGCGCGUUAGGUGUAUCGGUGACCACGAGUCACCGAGGUGCCGAAGGGAAACUGUGAAACGUGCCGCCUGGGAAGUACGGUCGCAAGGCUGAAACUUAAAGGAAUUGGCGGGAA